RNAcentral lists this non-coding RNA (217 nucleotides) under bacterium AM6. The record is from RNAcentral.
CGAAGGUAUCCCUGCCGUGGCAUCGAUGGCGGCAGGGAUUUAAACGGGAAUCCGGUGAAGGCGCCUUGCGCGCCCAUUCCGGAGCUGCCCCGCAGCGGUGAAUGGAAACGAAUCCUGCCAACAGCACUGGGCUCGCGCUUGGGAAGCGGCAGGUAGUAGGUGGGCCAGCCGGCCCGUGUCCAUCAGCCCGAAUACCGGCCCCGGCCGGGGGACACGA